RNAcentral lists this non-coding RNA (108 nucleotides) under Eubacterium limosum. RNAcentral describes it as "FMN riboswitch (RFN element)". It matches the Rfam family "FMN riboswitch aptamer (RFN element)". Rfam says of the family: The RFN element is a highly conserved domain that is found frequently in the 5'-untranslated regions of prokaryotic mRNAs that encode for flavin mononucleotide (FMN) biosynthesis and transport proteins. The record is from RNAcentral. Lineage: Bacteria; Bacillati; Bacillota; Clostridia; Eubacteriales; Eubacteriaceae.
AUCUUCAGGGCAGGGUGCAAUUCCCUACCGGUGGUACAGCCCACGAGCCGUAAGGCAUGAUUCGGUGAAACUCCGAAGCCGACAGUACAGUCUGGAUGAAAGAAGAUA